Molecule: ribosomal RNA, 528 nt
Filed under: Triticum aestivum (bread wheat)
Lineage: Eukaryota; Viridiplantae; Streptophyta; Magnoliopsida; Poales; Poaceae
Description: partial small subunit ribosomal RNA
Source: RNAcentral
UUUUUUUGGAACAUUAGAGGGUUGAAUGGCCCCAUUAAAAUUAACAAACUGAAAGAGCUCAUUAGAGCCAAUAGUCCUGAUUUUAUUUGUAUUUCUGAGACCAAGAAAGAAGAAUUUACUCUUCUUCAACUUGAAGCGUUUGACCCCAGAUCUGAUUUCCAAUGGAAAUGGCUCCCUGCAAUUAACACUGCUGGAGGGGUUUUGAUUGGAUGUAAGGUAGAUCUAUUUGACUUAGUCCAAUGUGACCUACACAAAUUCAGUAUUUCUUGCUUGCUUAAAAACAAACAGGAUCUCUCUAUUUGGAGACUUAUUACUGUUUAUGGCUCUGCCUAUGACCAGUUUAAAGUGGAUUUCAUUAAUGAACUCCACACCCUAUUGACUGACUGGUCAGGGCCCACCCUGGUGGGGGUGAUUUUAAUCUUAUUAGAGAGGCUAGUGAUAAAAACACUGGUGUUAUUAAUCAACACUGGGCUCAAAAUGGAUCUCUUUAAUGACUGGAUUAAUAAAUUUGGCUUAUUAGAGCUCUAA